This 502-nucleotide ribosomal RNA is filed under the name uncultured bacterium. RNAcentral's name for it is "partial 16S ribosomal RNA". It matches the Rfam family "Bacterial small subunit ribosomal RNA", at positions 28 to 523 of the family's 1533-position model. The record is from RNAcentral.
GAUGAACGCUAGCGGCAGGCCUAACACAUGCAAGUCGAGGGGCAGCACAGAAACAGCAAUGUUUUGGUGGCGACCGGCGGACGGGUGCGUAACGCGCAUGCAACCUACCUUUAACAGGGGGAUAACGGAGAGAAAUUUCCACUAAUACCCCAUAACAUCGAUCAAGGCAUCUUGAUUGGUUGAAAACUCCGGUGGUUAAAGAUGGGCAUGCGUUGUAUUAGGUAGUUGGUGAGGUAAUGGCUCACCAAGCCUAGGAUACAUAGGGGGACUGAGAGGUUAGCGCCCCACAUUGGGACUAGGACAAGGGCAAGACUCCUACGGAAGGAAGACUGGAGGAAUAUUAGUCAAUAGGGGCAAAACUGAACCAGCCAUGCCGCGUGCAGGACGACGGCUCUAUGAGUUGUAAACUGCUUUUAGACAGGGAUAAAGCAGAGUAUGUAUACUGUGUUGAAGGUACUGUAAGAAUAAGGAUCGGCUAACUGCGUGCCUGCCGCCGCCGUAA